This 489-nucleotide ribosomal RNA is filed under the name Escherichia coli. RNAcentral's name for it is "partial 23S ribosomal RNA". It matches the Rfam family "Bacterial large subunit ribosomal RNA", at positions 2433 to 2916 of the family's 2925-position model. Lineage: Bacteria; Pseudomonadati; Pseudomonadota; Gammaproteobacteria; Enterobacterales; Enterobacteriaceae. The record is from RNAcentral.
AUGGAAGGGCCAUCGCUCAACGGAUAAAAGGUACUCCGGGGAUAACAGGCUGAUACCGCCCAAGAGUUCAUAUCGACGGCGGUGUUUGGCACCUCGAUGUCGGCUCAUCACAUCCUGGGGCUGAAGUAGGUCCCAAGGGUAUGGCUGUUCGCCAUUUAAAGUGGUACGCGAGCUGGGUUUAGAACGUCGUGAGACAGUUCGGUCCCUAUCUGCCGUGGGCGCUGGAGAACUGAGGGGGGCUGCUCCUAGUACGAGAGGACCGGAGUGGACGCAUCACUGGUGUUCGGGUUGUCAUGCCAAUGGCACUGCCCGGUAGCUAAAUGCGGAAGAGAUAAGUGCUGAAAGCAUCUAAGCACGAAACUUGCCCCGAGAUGAGUUCUCCCUGACUCCCUGAGAGUCCUGAAGGAACGUUGAAGACGACGACGUUGAUAGGCCGGGUGUGUAAGCGCAGCGAUGCGUUGAGCUAACCGGUACUAAUGAACCGUGAGG